RNAcentral lists this ribosomal RNA (502 nucleotides) under Bacillus sp. C2PN42. RNAcentral describes it as "bacterial SSU rRNA". It matches the Rfam family "Bacterial small subunit ribosomal RNA", at positions 14 to 495 of the family's 1533-position model. Lineage: Bacteria; Bacillati; Bacillota; Bacilli; Caryophanales; Bacillaceae. The record is from RNAcentral.
UGAUCCUGGCUCAGGACGACACGCUGGCGGCGUGCCUGAUACAUGCAAGUCGAGCGAAUCUUUAGGAGCUUGCUCCUGAAAGAGUUAGCGGCGGACGGGUGAGUAACACGUGGGCAACCUGCCAUGUAAGACUGGGAUAACAUCGGGAAACCGAUGCUAAUACCGGAUAAUCCUUUUCCUCUCAUGAGGUAAAGUUGAAAGUCGGUUUCGGCUGACACUUACAGAUGGGCCCGCGGCGCAUUAGCUAGUUGGUGAGGUAACGGCUCACCAAGGCGACGAUGCGUAGCCGACCUGAGAGGGUGAUCGGCCACACUGGGACUGAGACACGGCCCAGACUCCUACGGGAGGCAGCAGUAGGGAAUCUUCCACAAUGGACGAAAGUCUGAUGGAGCAACGCCGCGUGAACGAUGAAGGCCUUCGGGUCGUAAAGUUCUGUUGUUAGGGAAGAACAAGUAUCGGAGUAACUGCCGGUACCUUGACGGUACCUAACCAGAAAGCCACG